Podarcis lilfordi (Lilford's wall lizard) is the source of this 127-nucleotide non-coding RNA. The record is from the annotation of a GenBank genome assembly. Lineage: Eukaryota; Metazoa; Chordata; Lepidosauria; Squamata; Lacertidae.
CUUCCAGUAGCACCUUAGAGACCAACUAAGUUUGUUAUUGGUAUGCAGAUAUCUGAAGAAGUGUGCAUGCACACGAAAGCUCAUGCCAAUAUCAAAACUUAGUUGGUCUCUAAGGUGCUACUGGAAG